RNAcentral lists this ribosomal RNA (485 nucleotides) under uncultured bacterium. Its description in RNAcentral is "partial 16S ribosomal RNA". It matches the Rfam family "Bacterial small subunit ribosomal RNA", at positions 28 to 523 of the family's 1533-position model. The record is from RNAcentral.
GACGAACGCUGGCGGCGUGCCUAACACAUGCAAGUCGAGCGGGAUCCAUCCGGUAGCAAUACUGGUGAAGAUCUAGCGGCGAACGGGUGAGUAACACGUGAGAAACCUGCCCCAGACUCUGGGAUAACACGAGGAAACUCGUGCUAAUACCGGAUACCUUCUUUUGGUCGCAUGGCCAGCUGAAGAAAGAUCUAUCGGUUUGGGAGGGUCUCGCGGCCUAUCAGCUAGUUGGCGGGGUAACGGCCCACCACGGCAUCGACGGGUAGCUGGUCUGAGAGGACGAUCAGCCACACUGGGACUGAGACACGGCCCAGACUCCUACGGGAGGCAGCAGUGGGGAAUCUUGCGCAAUGGGCGAAAGCCUGACGCAGCAACGCCGCGUGCGGGAUGAAGGCCUUCGGGUUGUAAACCGCUUUCAGCAGGGAAGAAAUUGACGGUACCUGCAGAAGAAGCCCCGGCCAACUACGUGCCAGCCGCCGCCGUAA